GGUCUCGUACCUCAGUUGGUUACAGCUUUGACUGUACUAAAGCCUGUUCCUUGCUGGCGUGGGUUCGAAUCCCACCGAGGCCA
RNAcentral lists this transfer RNA (83 nucleotides) under Schistocephalus solidus. It matches the Rfam family "tRNA". From Rfam's summary of the family: Transfer RNA (tRNA) molecules are approximately 80 nucleotides in length. Their secondary structure includes four short double-helical elements and three loops (D, anti-codon, and T loops). The record is from Rfam by way of RNAcentral. Lineage: Eukaryota; Metazoa; Platyhelminthes; Cestoda; Diphyllobothriidea; Diphyllobothriidae.